Alexandromys fortis (reed vole) is the source of this 263-nucleotide long non-coding RNA. RefSeq lists it as uncharacterized. NCBI's taxonomy places the organism in Eukaryota, Metazoa, Chordata, Mammalia, Rodentia, Cricetidae. The transcript has 3 exons. The record is from RefSeq and is a predicted model, not a curated record.
ACCAAGGGGAUGUUGAGGUUUCUCUCAGUCUUUCCUCUCCAUCAAUAUCUUUAGCCUCCAGAGCCUGGACACCAUCCUGGCUUGGGAGAUGUCGCCCCUUCGGCAUGUCCAACACAGACGCCCAACAUGUAGAUUGGUGCGCUGCACCAGGUGAACCCCACUCGCACUCCAGGCUUUAAAAGGAGGAGAGGAAUUCCCAUUCCUGUGUGUCUUCCUUCUGGAAGCCUCAAGACGGGAGUGGCACUAAGGUUGCUGGUUUCAAG